RNAcentral lists this ribosomal RNA (517 nucleotides) under Salmonella enterica subsp. enterica serovar Give. RNAcentral's name for it is "partial 23S ribosomal RNA". It matches the Rfam family "Bacterial large subunit ribosomal RNA", at positions 868 to 1381 of the family's 2925-position model. Lineage: Bacteria; Pseudomonadati; Pseudomonadota; Gammaproteobacteria; Enterobacterales; Enterobacteriaceae. The record is from RNAcentral.
AUUUAGGUGCAGCCUUGCGGGUUACUGAUGUGAGGUAGAGCGACUGAUUGGAUGCGAGGGCUUCACCGCCUAUCAAGUCCUGACAAACUCCGAAUGCGCAUCAGUUUUACCGCGGGAGUGAGGGCAUGGGUGCUAAGGUCCGUGCCCGAGAGGAGAAGAAUCCGGACUAUCAGCUAAGGCCCCGAAAUGACAGCUAAGUUAAACUAACGAAGUCUGAUUGCUAAGACAGCUAGGAUGUUGGCUUGGAAGCAGCCAUUCAUUCAAAGAGUGCGUAACAGCUCACUAGUCGAGGGUCCGGGCAUGGAUAAUAAUCGGGUAUAAGGCAGACACCGAAGGCGCGGGAGAGCAAUUAUAAAAGUAUCGGUAGGGGAGCAUACUCACAGCUUCGAAUGGUGUACGUAAGUUAUCCUGGAGCGGUGAGUAAAGCAAAUGUAGGAACAAGUAACGAUAAGGAGGGUUAGAUUCCCUCCCGCUGUAAGACCAAGGUUUCCCGGGCAAUGCCAAUCAGCCCGGGGUC